This 620-nucleotide ribosomal RNA is filed under the name uncultured bacterium. Its description in RNAcentral is "bacterial SSU rRNA". It matches the Rfam family "Bacterial small subunit ribosomal RNA", at positions 104 to 742 of the family's 1533-position model. The record is from RNAcentral.
GGGUGAGUAACGCGUGGGUAACCUGCCAUAUGCUGGGGGACAACAGUUGGAAACGACUGCUAAUACCGCAUAAGCGCACGAGACCGCAUGGUCUAGUGUGAAAAACUCCGGUGGCAUAUGAUGGACCCGCGUCUGAUUAGCUAGUUGGUGAGGUAACGGCCCACCAAGGCGACGAUCAGUAGCCGGCCUGAGAGGGUGAACGGCCACAUUGGGACUGAGACACGGCCCAGACUCCUACGGGAGGCAGCAGUGGGGAAUAUUGCGCAAUGGGGGAAACCCUGAUGCAGCGACGCCGCGUGAGUGAAGAAGUAUUUCGGUAUGUAAAGCUCUAUCAGCAAGGAAGAAAAUGACGGUACUUGACUAAGAAGCCCCGGCUAACUACGUGCCAGCAGCCGCGGUAAUACGUAGGGGGCAAGCGUUAUCCGGAUUUACUGGGUGUAAAGGGAGCGUAGACGGCAUGGCAAGUCUGAAGUGAAAGGCUGGGGCUCAACCCCGGGACUGCUUUGGAAACUGUUAAGCUAGAGUGCAGGAGAGGUAAGUGGAAUUCCUAGUGUAGCGGUGAAAUGCGUAGAUAUUAGGAGGAACACCGGUGGCGAAGGCGGCUUACUGGACUGUAACUG